GGAUGCGAUCAUACUAGCACUAACGCACUGGAUCACAUCAAAACUCCGAAGUUAAGUAUGCUUGGGUGAGAGUAGUACUAGGAUGGGUGACCCCCUAGGAAGUCCUCGUGUUGCAUCCC
This is a non-coding RNA of Nicotiana sylvestris (wood tobacco), 119 nucleotides long. Lineage: Eukaryota; Viridiplantae; Streptophyta; Magnoliopsida; Solanales; Solanaceae. The record is from Rfam.